Phrynosoma platyrhinos (Desert horned lizard) is the source of this 72-nucleotide non-coding RNA. The record is from the annotation of a GenBank genome assembly. Lineage: Eukaryota; Metazoa; Chordata; Lepidosauria; Squamata; Phrynosomatidae.
GGUGUAAUGGUUUAAUGGGUUGAGCUUUGGACUGUGGUUCUGGAGACCAGGGUUCAAAUCCCUAGUCAGCCA